Molecule: long non-coding RNA, 417 nt
Organism: Vitis vinifera (wine grape)
Lineage: Eukaryota; Viridiplantae; Streptophyta; Magnoliopsida; Vitales; Vitaceae
Exons: 3
Source: RefSeq, a predicted model, not a curated record
UGAAGAGUCUGGGUGCCAGCAGCCCCACAAGCCAUUUGGGGUCUUUAACUGUGGCUUCACACAUUAUUCUUUUGAAGUCAUUACCAAUUCAUGGUAGAUUAACAAUCCUGGGGCAUAAGGUUAAGAGGAUGCCAUACAUAUAUAAUGUCAAGAAUUUUUUUUCACUAUCCGAUGUGGGAUAUCACAGAUUGCCUUAUCAGCUUGAAGUCCUUUCCAGCAUUUACAAUGUCCAACUUAUACCAGAAAUGCAGCAUUAGGUGUUGAAUCAAUGGAACUGAUGGGGAAGACUUGGCAUUCAUCAAAAUUGAACAGGGUUUGCAGUUUACAUGAUGUGACAAUAAAAUGGGGUCAGAUCUCAAUUUGACAAGCUACCUCAGCAAUCCAAAAAGGACAUCAGUGUGGAUUGUCCUGUCUCAA